Molecule: non-coding RNA, 1655 nt
Organism: Rattus norvegicus (Norway rat)
Lineage: Eukaryota; Metazoa; Chordata; Mammalia; Rodentia; Muridae
Source: RefSeq, a predicted model, not a curated record
CCCCCUUUCUUGCCCUGUGAACAUCUAGCUCUUCUCUCUCUCUCUCUCUCUCUCUCUCUCUCUCUCUCUCUCUCUCUCUCUGUGUGUGUGUGUGUGUGUGUGUGUGUGUUUCUCCCUGCUUUCCACAGAUUUUGCAAAUUUACAUUUAUUCUCCAUUUUGCCUGCCCCCUAUUUUCAUUUGUUUGAAAUUCCAAGAGCCUCCGCUCUGAAGCCUGAAGACUUUCCCCUUCCAAAGAAGAAGUCCUCCGGAGCCCUGGGUGACAAGUGUCAGGAUGGUUUCUUUGGAGACUUGUUUUUCAUCUCGGUGGUUCUGAGGCGUACAGGCGUGAUAAAACACAGAUGGAGAGGAGCAGACAACGUUGUCGCGCGCGCAGAAGACAUCGCACCACGUUGUACGUUUUCGGAAAUCUUGGAAGACCUCAGGAUGUAAAUGGCUCACCUUGCGGAUUGUGUCCUGCAACCACGAAUGUCUCCAUGCUCCCUUAACCGAGACUAGGAGGAGGACACAUCAGGCUCUACUGACCGGCGGACUUGGGGCCAGGGUUUGGCAGCUGUCGCAGCCAGAACUGUGAGCGUUCACCAAAAUGCCGUUGUUGCUCUGCUCCCAAAUAACAGCACUUCUGAGACACAAAAGGUGCCUUUGUCCCCAGACCCCACUCCCCACCCUUCCACCCCCCACCCCCACCCUCCCAUCCCCACCACCCCCACCCCGUUGCAACUCCAUCAGCAACUCACACUGCAUCGUCCUCCCUCCCCUGUAAAAAUACUCCACGUAGGACUCUAGGUUCUGCAAGCCUACCGAACUUAUCCUGACCUAAUUUCCUCAUGGAAGAAAGACCAGAACCAAUAACCUUCUUGUCCCCCUGAAAGACCCCAAGAACUGAAGCUUCCUACCCAACCACACAGUUCCUCUCCCCACCCACCCACCCUCUACCAAUCUUCUCUCCACGUCUCCAUCUUCUUCAUCUCCAUCCAUUCCCGCCCGUCCAGCCUCUCCAUCCGACCGCCUGUCCCUCCCCACCUUGGGCAUCCAUUCACCCCCAGGUUUUCAUGGCCCCCAAGGGCCGUUCCCUUCCUUCGUUUCCCUGCACAAUCUCUCUUUGUUCUCAGCAUGGACUCCAUUUUCUCCUCCUCUCUCCUCUGCUGCUUGAGGUUAAGAACAUGCCAUGGCAUUCCAUAAAUUACUUGGCAAGAGUGGAUGACAAGAACAGAGUGUAAUUCAGAUUAAAGUCGCCCUCCAGCUGAAAUGAUAGUUUAUUAAAUAAACGGCAAUGCUGCCUAUCAACUUUGCUGGCAACUGGCCUCUUAUAUUAAUCUUCCUCGGGAUGAUUUAGGAUCCACCUGGGUCCUCCGAGAAGAUUCUCCCCUCAUUUCCGUCCCAUCUCUCUGGAUCAGGCUGCUGGGCCUGGUGCAGUUGACAAAUUCCCCAAGUAAUCCCUCAAAAGAUUGGAGAACGCUCGGAACGCUCCAUUAAAUUUAUUCUCCAUGCUUUAAGAGACCCAAACUAUGUCCAAUAAAUAAGUGUCCCUGUGAUUUACUGAAAUGCUGCUCUGAUUUAAAGUUAUAGGGGGAAAAUAUAGAGCCCCUGGGAGCCCAGGACCAGCCUUGCAAGUGAGACCAGAUGUGAGAUUUCUGUCCAGGGAGGGGAGAAGAAG